GGAUUGACGUAAUGGUCGUGCCUUAAGGGGUAUGCACUGGUCUCACUGAUUCCUCCUUCCUGAUGAGCCGUAAUGCCAUUAAUUUGGUGUUGCGGGGAAUUUGGACUGUUACUUUGAAAAAAUUAGAGUGUUUAAAGCAAGCUAACGCUUGAAUACAUUAGCAUGGAAUAAUGAAAUAGGACGUUCGAUCCUAUUUUGUUGGUUUCUAGGAUUGACGUA
Molecule: ribosomal RNA, 219 nt
Filed under: Campeiostachys nutans
Lineage: Eukaryota; Viridiplantae; Streptophyta; Magnoliopsida; Poales; Poaceae
Description: Elymus nutans partial small subunit ribosomal RNA
Rfam family: Eukaryotic small subunit ribosomal RNA (bases 43-219)
Source: RNAcentral